GGUUGACGCCUGCGUACUGUCAGAGGGCGCAGGUUUUAGGGGGAACGGGUGCCCGGAAUAAGAAAAGGAGUUGCAUUAAAACGGAUGUAUCAAUGCGCACUCAGCCUGCGCAACUUUUUUUUUACUCAUUUUAGUUUUUUAGACGACAAAGUUCGCUGUGUUUAUGUUGACUGUCAUAAAACUUCUCAAUACAAUAAAUUCUUUAAGCUCCGUAAUUUUAUUAUUUUUUUUCGCGGUUGUAUUAUUGUUCUCAUCAAAAUACUGAAGUUUAGGAUAAUUUGCAGUUUUGUUUGUGUUUACAAUUUUAAAAUGAUAUUGAUAAUCUAGGGUGCUCUGUUUUUUCUAUUAAUUAUUAAUGAAAGUAUACAUGGAACGUAAAUCACUUUACAUGUGAAGGAACAAUUGACAGUUGGGUUCAGCUCUAUUGUUCUAUCAUACUAGAUACCUCAAUCCUGAUUGACACGGAAAUUGACCAACAUCUGAUAAUCCUGAUUCAGAACAAUGAUUUGAAAUGGUUAUCUUCAUGUUAAUUCUAUAUCUGUAUACUCCGGCUGUCCAAUUUUAAAACACAGUUACUGUAAAAUUUUUAUA
Molecule: long non-coding RNA, 591 nt
Organism: Cotesia glomerata
Lineage: Eukaryota; Metazoa; Arthropoda; Insecta; Hymenoptera; Braconidae
Exons: 3
Source: RefSeq, a predicted model, not a curated record